Long non-coding RNA from Homo sapiens (human), 3582 nucleotides. RefSeq lists it as uncharacterized. The record is from RefSeq and is a predicted model, not a curated record. The transcript is spliced from 2 exons. NCBI's taxonomy places the organism in Eukaryota, Metazoa, Chordata, Mammalia, Primates, Hominidae.
UGGGGUAAGGUGGCGCCAGGAGGGGACGGGCAGUUUUUCUGGCCUUCACUGGCCUGUGGUUUCCGCAGUGCAGGGCAUGGGACUGUGGGGCGAUGGAGCAAGGAGGAUGGAGUUUCUGUCCCUGGGAAGCCUCUUGUCUGAGGGGAGACAUGCCCCGAGCCUUCAGGGACCGCCUAGUCGGAGGGGGAGACACAGCCCUUGUCCUGGGGAGUUUGGAAUAACCGUAUUGGGGCCAGGGACAGAGGAUGAUGGAGUCACCCUGCUCUGCAUGGAGCACGGGACCACCCGGCCUCACGGGGCUGGGCAGACGCUUCUGUUUCUUCUGCAUGGAGCACGGGAUCACCUGGCCUCAUGGGGUUAGGCAGACGCUUCUGUUUCUUAGGAAGAGGUCUGUUUGCUUCUCAAAUGCUUCCCGGGAACCUCCUCCACCACUGCAGCCCUGCACUGUGGGCAGGAAUGUCACUAGCCCCCUUUUACGGAUGAGGAAACUGAGGCUCAGGCAUCUGGGAAAAUGUGCUGUGGGCAGCCCCCCCGGACAGAGCUGUGCUGGCACCCUCCAGACAGUGCAGGAGAAGGGCAGGUCCCACAGAGUCCCUGCUGUUCCCCCAAGUCCUGAGGCCAGGGGGUGCUGUCUCUACUCUCAGUCCCCUGCCAGGACCUGUCCCCUGGUUCAAUCCCAGGCAGGCCAGCGGGGAGGGUGGGGUGGGAGACUUGGUUCUGCUGAGGCUGCAGCUUCCCUGGCCCACCUAGGCUGAGUCAGGGCUGGGCAGGAGCCGAGGGCAGCAGCUUUCCCAGGGCCAGCCCGGGCGGCGUCCGCAUUCCUCACUUGCAGGGUGCGUCUGGGCUUGGCUGAGCCAGGUGUGCUGUGCCCCACCCAGGCCCCCGCCUGCAGCUGAGCCAGCUCAGCGCUGGGGCCUUGUAAGGAAGCUUCUGGCAGCCACCAGGAACGGGGUGUGGGAACUGCUUGGCUUGCAUGUCCUUGCUGGGUGGGGUGCAGGCUGGGGGAGAUCAGCCUGCUAGAGCCCAAGCUCCCACAGUGGCCAGGGCAAUUGGGGUGCCCACUCCUCACCCCCUCCUCACACUCUGCUCUUGCCUCUGCAGUUGGAGAGCUGGAGGCCGAGGCCCCAGGCAGUCUGUGGUUUGGAGCUUUGGUCUUGGUCAUUGCUCAGUAGAUGCUGGGGGCAGAAUGAAGGAUGUUCUGAGAGCUGAGGUGGUGGUGAGGGCCCCGCAGUGGCCAGGAAGCAGCAGAGGGACACGUUCUGUUUGCUGCCUCCAGCCUCUAAGGGAUGCCUUUGUCCUAAGCAGCUUGGAGCUCUGUGCCAGAUGGGGCCCUGGAGUAGAGGCUGUGAGUGCGGACUUGUGCCCAUGGGGUGCCCAUCUCUGGGGACUGCUGCUGACACCUUGCCACUUGGCCCUGUGUCCCCCACACCCCAGCUGGGCUGUCUGCACUGGCACCUGGGUCUGGAAGGGGUCUAUAUGGGGUUGGCCAAGGUCAGUCCUCACCACUUACUGCAGUGAAAUUCUUCCCACAAUCCACUUCCUCUCUUUGGGCCUCUGUUUUCUUUCCUGGAAAGUGGGGGUAGGAACUCCCUUUCCCAAUGUCCCUGGGCGCUUUUUGUUUUUCACUUAAUUAAAAUUUUUUUUUGUUAUUUUUGAGAUAGGGCCUCACUCUGUCGCCCAGGUUGGAGUGCAGUGACGCCAUCACAGCUCGUGCAGGCUUGAUCUCCUGGGCUCAAGCGGUUCUCCCACCCCAGCCUCCUGAGUAGCUGGGAUCACAGGUGCACACCACCAAGCCUAGCUGAAUGUCCCUGGGUUCUUGGUGGAUGGAAUGUGACCAUGAGACUGAGGAUGUGUGUUGGGAGCUGAGAUGAGCUGUGCUGGGACCUGCAUCUUCUCCACCACAGGACCCCCCAACUUAGCGCUGUAGCUUCUCCAUCACUGUCUAUUUGAAGUCCUUCCCCCAGGCCCUGGACGGGGAAACUCAGGACUCCUCUCCGGGUAGAGUCUGGCAGCAGUCGGGCCAGAACAGCUCAGUGCUGCCCUCUGGGGGCGAGGCCGCGGCUUCCUCCUGCUCAGCCCCAGCCUGGGUUGGAAGGAGCCCACCCAGCUAAGCGUGGCGAGACCCGACAGAGGGGUGGGCGCAGUCACUGCCCACACACCUGCAAGGCACGCCUGGACGCACAUCCGCAUGUGGCCAUGCACAGGUGUGCACACGGACUUUACCCUCGUUCGUUUGUAUUAUGUCCCCCGUUGGUGUCACACCCCGCGUGGGAAGCCCAGAAGCCGCUGCCGCUCCUCAGGAGUUGACAGGAGGGAGAGGUCCCCGCGGGUGGAGCGUGUCUGCUCCAGGGACCCUCAGACUCGGGGCCGGGCAAGCUGGAGGGAAGGCUGGUUUUGGGGUUAGCAGUUUAUUAACAGAGGGACUUGAGCGGGUGGGCGUGGGGGAGGGACACGUGCCAAAGGCAGGGAAGGGCUUUUUUGAGAUGGAGGGAUGGGGGAUAGGGGGUGAUACACAGCGCAGGCCAGCUUCAGAAGGGAAUGUUGUGUCCAUGCGCCUGGAGGCAGAGGCAUGGACACACGGCCCAGCCGGGGCCUGGUGCUCUGGCUGUUAAGGGACUAGAGACGGUGAAGCUGAAGAUGGCGAGGAGGAGCCAGGACCCUGGGGGAGAAGGAGUAGUUUGCAGAGCGCAGGUGGAGGAUGGGUCUCCAGGGUCCCUGCAUUCCUCCCGCGGCCUCGCGGGCUCCUCUCGGGACUGCAGCGCAGAGGCGCCACCCAAGAUGGCCAGCAGAGGGCGCUCCUGCUACAGAUUUGGGGAUCCCGGGCGGCCGGAGCGUGUCCCCGUUUAACAGGGCAUGAGCCUUGGAAGGCGGCUGGGCCUGGGGUCUCCAUGGGGAGCACUAGAGCCUGCCCCUUGGGAGCCACCGAGCACAAGAAUGAGGAGAGACGACCUCAUGAGGUGGGAACCCCACAGGGUUCCAUGCAUCCUUUUCUGCUGCUGCCGGGUCAGGCAUUUGUCUGGUCAAUGCUUCCAUCCUUUUGUCCCAAGGUGGUGCCUUUUAAAUCACCCCCGGAGAUGUGACUGGCCCGCCUAACCUGCCCUGGAGGUCUUCCUCCAGGCCAGGGGUCUGUUAGGGCCAGCUAGCCUUUCUAGAAAGUUCCCUGGGUUCUAGCCCCUGCAGCUUCCCUGGUGGCCCCUUGCUCCUGCUUCCUGUCCCUGCCUCUGGGAGGAGGACUUGCUUGUCUGGUCUCCUUCCUCACCCUGCCUCAUCCAAGGAGGCUUCUCCAUCGCUGCCGGUGCAUCCUGCAGUUCUGAGGACCAGACGCACCCUUGGUCUUCUGCCGUAAAGAGUUACGGGCGUUCACGCAGCUGGCGGGUGAACACUGCCAGGUCCCCUGCUUGGCUUGAGGUGUGGCAGCCGCCAUCAACUACUGGGGGAGGCGACUAGGGAGGAGAAAAUCCCUUCGGUUGUGAAUUCUGCCUUCCACCUCCCAGCAUCUCCACCUGGACAGAGGGACCACACACUCAAGCCAUUUACUCAUUGAUUUUUAAAUUAAAUUAAAUUAAAUUUAUUUUAAAAUUA